This is a non-coding RNA of Bos taurus (domestic cattle), 72 nucleotides long. The record is from Rfam. Lineage: Eukaryota; Metazoa; Chordata; Mammalia; Artiodactyla; Bovidae.
UCCCUAGUAGCUCAGCUGGUAAAGAAUCCACCUGCAAUGUGGGAGGCCUGGGUUCAACCCCUGGGUUGGGAA